GAUGAACGCUCGCGGCGUGCCUAAUACAUGCAAGUCGAGCGAACAGACGAGGAGCUUGCUCCUCUGACGUUAGCGGCGGACGGGUGAGUAACACGUGGAUAACCUACCUAUAAGACUGGGAUAACUUCGGGAAACCGGAGCUAAUACCGGAUAAUAUAUUGAACCGCAUGGUUCAAUAGUGAAAGACGGUUUUGCUGUCACUUAUAGAUGGAUCCGCGCCGCAUUAGCUAGUUGGUAAGGUAACGGCUUACCAAGGCAACGAUGCGUAGCCGACCUGAGAGGGUGAUCGGCCACACUGGAACUGAGACACGGUCCAGACUCCUACGGGAGGCAGCAGUAGGGAAUCUUCCGCAAUGGGCGAAAGCCUGACGGAGCAACGCCGCGUGAGUGAUGAAGGUCUUCGGAUCGUAAAACUCUGUUAUUAGGGAAGAACAAAUGUGUAAGUAACUAUGCACGUCUUAACGGUACCUAAUCAGAAAGCCACGGCUAACUACGUG
Molecule: ribosomal RNA, 497 nt
Filed under: uncultured bacterium
Lineage: Bacteria
Description: partial 16S ribosomal RNA
Rfam family: Bacterial small subunit ribosomal RNA
Source: RNAcentral